This is a long non-coding RNA of Equus caballus (horse), 3475 nucleotides long. Lineage: Eukaryota; Metazoa; Chordata; Mammalia; Perissodactyla; Equidae. The record is from Ensembl.
UGAAAAUUUUAGCAACUGGGCCACCAUCUUGUCCCAGAGACUAUCUGCACCCACGUACUAUCCAGGAGGGGUGCUUAUUGUCAGCCAGGUGGUGAGUAAUGCAGUUCCCAAACCCCAUGUUACUGCCUGUUUUUUCAGACCACUCCUGGAACCAACCGAGUCAGCUCAGGUGGUCUGGGAAGCAGAUGCUGAGACAGAAUUAGGAGUGCAAGAGGUUUAUUGGGUGGUAAUAACUGGGAAAGAUAAAGGGGAAGGAGGCAGGAAUAGGCAGGGAAAGCCUUUGAUGCAGAUUUGGUAUCUGCGAAAGGAAAGGAUGUAGGAAACAAAAUUGGGCCAGGAAAACCUCAAGCCAUGAUGCAGAUCCUUCCAAUCCAAUGUCAACCCAAUGGAAAGCUCCAGAUAAAAGAGUGUCCUACAGGAGUCCAAUAGUGGCCAGAAAUGGCCAGGCCCUAAUACCCACACUGUGCCUAGUCAAGGGCUAGGGGCUGCUCAGGUAGAAUGGGGCCUUAGCUCUGACACGGUAAUGGAUCCCAAAGGUAAUGUAGUUGCAGGCUGACAGCUAACUGCACUCUGGUAGUUGAAUGGCAGAUUCUUUCUUCUUAUUAUUAUUACUUAUUAUUUCUUAUCUUUCUAAAAAUUCGGAUAAAGAAUCUAAGCAAAUCAAGCAAUGAGUGGGACUCUGCUGAAACUCUUUGUCACCACGGAUUGUGAGAGAAACUGGGGCUUCAGGAAUGUGUGUACAGGUUUAAGUUGCCAAGCUUCUGCCUCCUUCACUGAUGAGGAAAGGAAAGUGAGACGGGAGGUGGAAUCAGCUGUUGUUUGGGUGUGCGAAGGAAAGCUGGCUUUCUCCUCAGAAUGGCAUUUUACCAACUCAGAAAAAAAAAAAGAUUAUGCAGAAGGAAUCUGCUCCUUUUCGUUUCCAUCAGAAUUGAAAAUAUGUAACCUUCUUGCUCUUUUCUUCUUUUAAAUGAUACUCUUGAAUGUAUACUGGAGACUUUGAACAUACUGGAAUUUAGUUGCUCAAGAGUAUUAGAGGUGGGGCAGCUGGGAUGAUAAAGGGGUUAGAGGUGCAGGGCGACUUGAUGAGCUUCCAGAUGAGUCUUUCCCUUGUCAGGGAGUGACUCUGAUUAGUCUGAAAAGGUUGCUUGGAAUUCUUUGUCCCAAACAGUCACCCUGUUAUGUAUCAGAUAUGGUUACACUUACUCAUGUUCCCAGCCCAUGAUAAAAGGAGGAGCUGGAAGAGAGAACAUGACUUUUUUCUCCAAGAAGCUCAAAGGAAAUAAUAUAAUUAUGGAAUCUGGGAUCAUCUUUUUAAUAUCUCAGAGGAAACUGAGUCCCAGAGAUUUUAGGAGACUUGGCUAGAAUUACAGCUUUCCCAGAAGUAAAAUUAGAAUACAGGUCUCUUGACUCCUAACUCAGUGCUCUGCCUCAGUGAUGUCCACUCAUAAAAUCUCUGUGGAAAGAGUGAAGGACAUGGGUCAGAAAGAAUGAAACAUCUUUUGAGGACUCUUGGAGAUGCUGAACCCAAAAGUUGGAAGACUAUAUCAAGUGAGUAUAUAAAGUGACCAUUUCUUAUUAUCGCCCCUAAUAAUACCCAUAAAUAGAAAUUUUAUUCAACCAAGAAAAGCCUCAAGUGUUCGUUUAAUUACAUGUUAUGAUUGCUGUUGAAGAGCAAAUUAUUUGCAAACAAAGCUUGAGAAAGAAAUGAUGAGUAAUGUGCUAAAAGGACAUCAGGGUGGGUGAUCCUCUUCUUUCCCCUCCCUUUGGCACCACUUCAGUGUAGGGCCCACCUCAAACAAGCCUUGCCACUGCCUUUAUCAUACUGACCUAGAUCAACCUUCUGGAAAGUACUGCCACUUUCUUGCUUAAAAACCUUCAAGUUCUCCAUUAUGUACCAAUAAAGCCCACAUUCCUCAUCCUAAUAUUCAAGGCCUUACAUCAUCUGUCCCAGAGUCUAGCAGUCCAGUCUUAUUUCCCACUACUCCCCUGUCCCUGUGCUCAGCCUGUGGGAUCUCCUUUCAGUUCCCACAACAAACAACACGCUUUCCUGCCCUGAGGCCUUUGCACAUUUUCUUGACCCCAUCCCUCCACCCACUUCAUCUACCUGUUUUCCAAGGCCCAGAUUAGAUACCACCCUAUUCUAGUUGACAGGGAGACUUGGUGGAGCUUUUCACUUUUGCCAUUCAUUUGGCACUUAUCAUAUCCCUCCUUAGGCUUGGAGGUAAUUCCGGCAGGUCCAAAACUUGUUCACAAAGUCUCUGGCCCUCAGAAUUACUCUUCUCUUUAGCAGCUGCAGCAACCUGGUGAACGCAAGUUAUCCGACUCAACUCCCUCAACUUCCAACUCCUUCCUAGCCGGUCUUCCAACUCAAGUUAUAGAACACGGACUUUUCCUCUAGGUCCAGGCUUUCACUGUUCUCUCUCUCCUUUAUUUAUUGAAUCUUGCUUACUCUUUUGGCUUGCUCCCAAAGUAUAACCAAGUCUCUUCUUCCUAAAAACAAAAUGAACAUGAAACUUCUCUUUUCUUUCACCUUCCUUUUCCUUAAGUCAAGGUACACUCUCUCCUUCUCUUUUCUGAUACACUUCUCUUAUUGCAGUCUGAGCUGAGGGUCUGCCACUCUACUGAAAUGGACAUUUGGAAGAUCAACCAAAACUUCUAAAUGCCAAAUUCCAGUCUCUGCUCCUCCUUGAACACCUGUCUUCCUGGGACUUUUUCACCUACUUCUCUGACUAUUCCAUCACUGAUUUUUGGGUUUUCCCCACUCAAGGUUUGUUCUUUGGUCCUCUUUGCAAACUUUUGCAUCUAUGAGGAUAAUUCUUAGGUUUGUUUCUACCCCUAACUUCUCUUCUAAGCUUCCUUUCCAGUUGUUUUCUAGACUUUGUGUAUGUGUGUGUGUGUGUGUGUGUGUGUGUGUGUGUGUGGAUGUCCCACCUACUUCUCCAAGACAGUAAGUUCCAAAGUUAAUUUAUUAUAUUCUUCCUCUUCUAGGUCUUCCCCAAGCCUUUUUUUUCUGUCUCCUUUCCUUUCAGUCUCAGCCAAUGGGGUGCAUCACCUCCUUUCAGUUAUUUACCUUUAAUUUCUCUUCCUGGGUAUCCUUCCCUGCUGCUUCAUUUAGGAACUGGUCACAGAUUAACACGUGAUCUUUGAGAAAAUGAUUUCAGUAGAGUUGUUAGUGGUAGUGGUGAUAGUCUGGGGGAACUCAGGAAAGAAGUGAGGAAAGAACUGUGGUGGGGCUGGCCUGGUGGAUGGUGGUGAAGUUCGUGAGCUCCUCUUCAGUGGCCUGUGGUUCCUGGGUUGGGAUCCCAGGUGCAGACCUGCUCACCACUCAUCAAGCCAUGCUGUGGUGGUGUCCCACCAGUGGAGGCCAGGGGACAGAGAAUCCUAGAUUGGGGUUCUGGCUCAGGCUGGGGAAAAGGAGACGACCCGAGGUGGAGGAGGCUCUGACAUCGGAGGACCGGAGAGAUGUUUUCUGCAG